This 468-nucleotide ribosomal RNA is filed under the name uncultured bacterium. Its description in RNAcentral is "partial 16S ribosomal RNA". It matches the Rfam family "Bacterial small subunit ribosomal RNA", at positions 28 to 507 of the family's 1533-position model. The record is from RNAcentral.
GACGAACGCUGGCGGCGUGCUUAACACAUGCAAGUCGAACGGAAAGGCCCUGCUUUUGUGGGGUGCUCGAGUGGCGAACGGGUGAGUAACACGUGAGUAACCUGCCCUUGACUUUGGGUUAACUUCAGGAAACUGGGGCUAAUACCGGAUAGGAGCUCCUGCUGCAUGGUGGGGGUUGGAAAGUUUCGGCGGUUGGGGAUGGACUCGCGGCUUAUCAGCUUGUUGGUGGGGUAGUGGCUUACCAAGGCUUUGACGGGUAGCCGGCCUGAGAGGGUGACCGGCCACAUUGGGACUGAGAUACGGCCCAGACUCCUACGGGAGGCGGCAGUGGGGAAUAUUGCACAAUGGGCGGAAGCCUGAUGCAGCAACGCCGCGUGCGGGAUGACGGCCUUCGGGUUGUAAACCGCUUUCGCCUGUGACGAAGCGUGAGUGACGGUAAUGGGUAAAGAAGCACCGGCUAACUACGUG